CCUACGGGUGGCAGCAGUGAGGAAUAUUGGUCAAUGGACGAGAGUCUGAACCAGCCAAGUAGCGUGAAGGAUGACUGCCCUAUGGGUUGUAAACUUCUUUUAUAUGGGAAUAAAAUGUUUCACGUGUGGGAUUUUGUAUGUACCAUAUGAAUAAGCAUCGGCUAACUCCGUGCCAGCAGCCGCGGUAAUACGGAGGAUCCGAGCGUUAUCCGGAUUUAUUGGGUUUAAAGGGCGUGCAGGCGGGAAGACAAGUGAGAUGUGAAAUCACGCGGCUCAACCCCGGAACGGCAUUUGAAACUGUUGUUCUUGAGUACCGGGGAGGUCGUCGGAAUUCGUUGUGUAGCGGUGAAAUGCGUAGAUAUAAGGAAGAACACCGAUGGCGAAGGCAGAUUACUGGACGGCAACUGACGGUGAGGCGCGAAAGCGUGGGGAGCGAACAGGAUUAGAUACCCGUGUAGUC
Molecule: ribosomal RNA, 460 nt
Filed under: uncultured bacterium
Lineage: Bacteria
Description: partial 16S ribosomal RNA
Rfam family: Bacterial small subunit ribosomal RNA
Source: RNAcentral